This 484-nucleotide ribosomal RNA is filed under the name uncultured bacterium. RNAcentral describes it as "partial 16S ribosomal RNA". It matches the Rfam family "Bacterial small subunit ribosomal RNA", at positions 30 to 507 of the family's 1533-position model. The record is from RNAcentral.
AUUGAACGCUGGCGGCAGGCCUAACACAUGCAAGUCGAGCGGAUGAAGGGAGCUUGCUCCUGGAUUCAGCGGCGGACGGGUGAGUAAUGCCUAGGAAUCUGCCUGGUAGUGGGGGAUAACGUCCGGAAACGGGCGCUAAUACCGCAUACGUCCUGAGGGAGAAAGUGGGGGAUCUUCGGACCUCACGCUAUCAGAUGAGCCUAGGUCGGAUUAGCUAGUUGGUGGGGUAAAGGCCUACCAAGGCGACGAUCCGUAACUGGUCUGAGAGGAUGAUCAGUCACACUGGAACUGAGACACGGUCCAGACUCCUACGGGAGGCAGCAGUGGGGAAUAUUGGACAAUGGGCGAAAGCCUGAUCCAGCCAUGCCGCGUGUGCGAAGAAGGUCUUCGGAUUGUAAAGCACUUUAAGUUGGGAGGAAGGGCAGUAAGUUAAUACCUUGCCGUUUUGACGUUACCAACAGAAUAAGCACCGGCUAACUUCGUG